This 504-nucleotide ribosomal RNA is filed under the name uncultured bacterium. RNAcentral describes it as "partial 16S ribosomal RNA". It matches the Rfam family "Bacterial small subunit ribosomal RNA", at positions 29 to 523 of the family's 1533-position model. The record is from RNAcentral.
AUUGAACGCUGGCGGCAUGCCUUACACAUGCAAGUCGAACGGCAGCAUGGAGAGCUUGCUCUCUGAUGGCGAGUGGCGAACGGGUGAGUAAAGCAUCGGAACGUACCGUGUAGUGGGGGAUAACGUAGCGAAAGUUACGCAAAUACCGCAUACGCACGGAGGGGGAAAGCAGGGGACCGAAAGACCUGGCGCUAUACGAGGGGCCGAUGUCAGAUUAGCUAGUUGGUAGGGUAAAGGCCUACCAAGGCGACGAUCUGUAGCGGGUCUGAGAGGAUGAUCCGCCACACUGGGACUGAGACACGGCCCAGACUCCUACGGGAGGCAGCAGUGGGGAAUUUUGGACAAUGGGGGCAACCCUGAUCCAGCCAUGCCGCGUAAGUGAAGAAGGCCUUCGGGUUGUAAAGCUCUUUCGGCCGGGAAGAAAUCGCACAGGCUAAUACUCUGUGUGGAUGACGGUACCGGCAUAAGAAGCACCGGCUAACUACGUGCCAGCCGCCGCGGUAA